AACGAACGCUGGCGGCAUGCCUAACACAUGCAAGUCGAACGAGACCUUCGGGACUAGUGGCGCACGGGGGCGGAGCGCGUGGGAACCUUCCCUUAGGUACGGAAUUACUCCUCUUAAGGGGUGCUAACACAGGAAAAUGUAUUCGGAUCAAAUAUUUAUCGCACUGGGUUGGGCCCGUGAUGGACUGGUUUGUUGGUAGGGUAAAAGCCUACCAAGGUGUAGAUACAUAGCUGGGCUGAGAGGCAGAUCAGCAACACUGGGACGGAGACACGGCCCAGACUCCUACGGGAGGCAGCAAUGGGGAAUAUUGCACAAUGGGCGGAAACCUGAAGCAGCAAGGCCGCGUGAGUUAUGAAGGCCUUAGGGUUGUAAAGCUCUUUUAAACGGGAUGAUAAUGACGGUACCGGGAGAAUAAGCACCGGCUAACUCCGUG
RNAcentral lists this ribosomal RNA (433 nucleotides) under uncultured bacterium. RNAcentral describes it as "partial 16S ribosomal RNA". It matches the Rfam family "Bacterial small subunit ribosomal RNA", at positions 29 to 507 of the family's 1533-position model. The record is from RNAcentral.